This 1324-nucleotide ribosomal RNA is filed under the name metagenome. RNAcentral's name for it is "bacterial SSU rRNA". It matches the Rfam family "Archaeal small subunit ribosomal RNA". The record is from RNAcentral.
UAAGGUAAGGGAUAACCUCAGGAAACCGAGGGUAAUACCUUAUAUGAGAAGGGUUAUGGAAAAAACUUCUCUUAAAGAUUACGCCUUAGGAUGAGUCGGCGGUCGAUUAGGCUGAUGGUGAGGUAAUGGCUCACCAUACCUAUGAUCGAUAGGGGCCCUGAGAGGGGGAGCCCCGUGAAGGACACUGAGAUACUGGUCCUAGCCCUACGGGGUGCAGCAGGUACGAGGUCUUUACACUACACGAAAGUGUGAUAAGGGAACCCAAAGUGCUUACGUAUACGCGUAGGCUUUUGCCAAGCGUAAAUAACUUGGCGAAUAAGUGGUGGGUAAGACGGGUGCCAGCAGCCGCGGUAACACCCGCGCCACGAGUGGCAAUCAGCAUUAUUGGGCCUAAAGCGUCCGUAGCCGGUCUCAUAAAUUCUUUGUGAAAUCGUCAAGCUCAACUUGACGGCUUGCGAAGAACACUGUGAGACUAGAGACCAGGAGGGGUAGAAGGUAUUCCUUGGGGAGCGGUAAAAUGCUAUAAUCCAAGGAGGACCACCGAUGGCGAAGGCAUUCUACCAGAAUGGGUCUGACGGUGAGUGACGAAAGCCAGGGGAGCGAUCCGGAUUAGAUACCCGAGUAGUCCUGGCCGUAAACUCUGCGAGCAAGGUGUUGUGUUUUCCUCGGGAAAGCGCAGUAUCGAAGCGAAGGCGUUAAGCUCGCCGCCUGGGAAGUAUGGUCGCAAGGCUGAAACUUAAAGGAAUUGGCGGGGGAGCACUACAAGAGGUGAGGCGUGCUGUUUAAUCUUAUUCCACGCAGAGAAUCUCACUAGCGGCGACGGCAGGAUGAAGGUCGGGCUGAAGACCCUACCUAACGAGCCGAGAGGUAGUGCAUGGCCGCCGUCAGCUCGUGCCGUAAGGUGUCCUCUUAAGUGAGGUAACGAGCGAGACCUGCGUGUACAAUUGCCAUCGACUCUUCCGAGAGGAUCGAGCACAUUGUACAGACUGCCCUGGAAACAGGGAGGAAGGUGCAGGCUACGGUGGGUCUGUAUGCUCCGAAUCUGCUAGGCUACGAGCGCGCAACAAUGGUAGGGACAAUGGGAUGCGACUCCGAAAGGAGAAGCUAAGCCUCUAAACCCUAUCCCAGUCUAGAUUGAGGGCUGUAACCCGCCCUCAUGACAACGGAAUCUCUAGUAACCAGAUGUUAGCAUCGUCUGGUGAACAUGUCCCUGCUCCUUGCACACACCGCCCGUCAAACCAAUCGAGCAGGGUUCAAGUGAGCCCUUAUUUUUUGAUAAGGCCGAACUUGGGCUCAGUGAGAUGGGUUAAGUCGUCACAAGGUA